This 497-nucleotide ribosomal RNA is filed under the name uncultured bacterium. RNAcentral describes it as "partial 16S ribosomal RNA". It matches the Rfam family "Bacterial small subunit ribosomal RNA", at positions 27 to 507 of the family's 1533-position model. The record is from RNAcentral.
GGGGGGGGGGGGGGGGGGGGGGGGUAGAGGCGGGUGGGGCGGGGAGACGAGGAUGUUGCGCCUCCGGCGUUCGCGGCGGACGUGUGAGGAACACGUGGAUAACCGACCUAUAAGACUGGGAUAACUGCGGGAAACCGGGGCUAAUACCGGAUAACCUUUUGAACCGCAUGGUUCAACAGUGAAAGACUGUCUUGCUGUCACUUAUAGAUGGAUCCGCGCCGCAUUAGCUAGUUGGGCAGGUAACGGCUUACCAAGGCAACGAAGCGUACCCGACCUGAGAGGGUGAUCGGCCACACUGGAACUGAGACACGGUCCAGACUCCUACGGGAGGCAGCAGUAGGGAAUCUUCCGCAAUGGGCGAAAGCCUGACGGAGCAACGCCGCGUGAGUGAAGAAGGUCUUCGGAUCGUAAAACUCUGUUAUUAGGGAAGAACAAAUGUGUAAGUAACUAUGCACGUCUUGACGGUACCUAAUCAGAAAGCCACGGCUAACUACGUG